UACGAAGGUGGCUAGCGUUGUUCGGAAUUACUGGGCUUAAAGGGCGCGUAGGCGGCGUGUCAAGUCAGGCGUGAAAGCCCCGGGCUCAACCUGGGAACCGCGCUUGAGACUGGCAUGCUCGAGUUCGGGAGAGGAUGGUGGAAUUCCCAGUGUAGAGGUGAAAUUCGUAGAUAUUGGGAAGAACACCGGUGGCGAAGGCGGCGACCUGGUCCAUUACUGACGCUGAGGCGCGACAGCGUGGGGAGCAAACAGG
This 253-nucleotide ribosomal RNA is filed under the name uncultured bacterium. RNAcentral describes it as "partial 16S ribosomal RNA". It matches the Rfam family "Bacterial small subunit ribosomal RNA", at positions 524 to 776 of the family's 1533-position model. The record is from RNAcentral.